GCCCAGCCAGGAGCCAUCCCUGGAACUUCCCUGCUUGUUUUCCUGAGACCCAGGCAUAGCACAUCCUUUUGGGGAACUUUCUGGAAUGUGGCCGCAAGAAACCCCUCUCCCAAAGGCUUUAGAGAAAAUCCAUGAAACCGUCUGCAGAAGAACAUGCUUCCAAAGCAGAGGGGUUUACCCGCAGUGAGUCUGUUCUGGAUGCUGUAGGAAAGGAUUCCGUCCUCCUUCCCAGGUGCGGGGUCCCGCUCAGCUUCUGAUGGAAACUGGACCCCUGACUUCCAGGGGCCAUGUCCCUGCUUCUGCGGCCUGAGGAUUAGUGAUUCCCGAAACUCAGGCUGUGGGUGUUGAACCGUCUUCGUGGACAAUGAAAACCCUUCUGAUGGGACAUCUCACACUUUAAGGCCAGAUGAGGGCCUCUCCCCUGAGGCCUUGUGGAGGCAGCGUACGGCAGUGAGCCUGUGCCUGGCUGUCCUGGAACUCUGCUGCUGCUCUCCAGUCUCAUCCGAUGCUUGUCUGCAGGGGCCUUGCUGUCAUGGUGGCUCCCAGUCAACCACAGACGAAAGCAGACCCGAGCUAGGCAGCAUGGGGCUCCUCCGACAGCUGGUUUUGCUCCCAGGGCCCCCCCAGACUGUGAGCCUAAGACCCUCUCACCAACCAUCCCUAUCUCACCUCCACUCUGGGUGCCUUACAUGGCUUCUCUCCCCAUUUUCUCUCACACAAGUAUUUUCCCUUUUUAAAAAAAUCUUGACACAUUUAAUACCAUCUUGGUGUCUCUUCUUGGGAGACCUUAACACAUUUAAGAGAAUAAGUGUCCAGCAGUGCUAGAGUCAAGCUUUAGCACUCAGCUCAUUAGAAGCAAAGUAACCUCUCUGUCUCAGUUUACCUAUCUGUAAACUGGGAAUAAUUUUAGUAUAGUUUUCAGAAAGUCGUUCUGACUAUUCAAUGAGACAGCGCUCGCCUGUCGGUUAACCCUGUUUCUGACAUUUAUUUAGUACUCGUUGCUCGUUCUUAAGUCAAAACUAUUUUUAGGACUCUUUAGUCCAAGGUACAUCAAGCUAUUUUAUAUAAACUGUAGUAGAAACUCUAAUAACGUGAAAGACGAGACUUUUCAAGGUAAAAUCAGAGCCAUUCUUCCUGUGAAGGCGUAUCUGGGGACGCAAUCUGACCUACCAUAUCAGCAGACCGAGGGCACGCUGAGAUGGAUGCUUGAUAGCAAGGUCCUGGGCUGCCCUUUGACAUGUGGCGAUUAUGUUAUGAGAGCUGGGGUAGGAGUAAUGCAGAAUGGCAUCCUCAGAGGUGAGGGGUACACCUCAAACCUCUUUAUUUUUACUCCAGCUUCCAGAUUCCAAUCUUGUCACGGUGGACAGAUAACUUCUUGUUAGGACUUUAUUACAGAUGACCUGACUUCUCAUCCAGGGAUGAUACAUUCAAUCAUAAGCGUGGUUCAUUUCCUAAAAUUCUCAGUGUCCCUUUAGCUCCCUUGUCGCCAAAGCAUUAUAUCUUGCCUUUGUUCACCACUGUUACUGGCUUGUGGAAGGCACAGAAGAGCCACCAGAGUGAGGCCGGGAUGAUGACGGAACAGUCCGUCAGGGAGAAACUGUUGGCAUGUGACCCUGAAACUGCAGGCAAGGCAUGUGCCACCCCCUGGAACCAUCCCUAGGGCUUCGUAUAGCAGAACACAGUACUUCUUUCAAUGGCUUUUCCUGAGCAUGAACUAGCUGUGUGGGAUGCAGAGAAAUAUGUGACAAGCAUUCAAGGAACUUACAAUGAAUUCAUUUUUUAAAUAAACUCUGCUAAUCUGACCAAGUGGAAUAAUUUCCACUGGCAUUGAAAAAAAAAAGAGGAGCCAAGAGUCGUUAAGCAACUCAGCCAUAGUUCUGUGCUGGUCCAUUUUAUGAAUGACUUGGAUAAAGUUAUAAAGGGCACAUUUAUCAAGCUGGACAUGGCACGGGGCUGGGAAGAAUAAUGAAUACAGUACAUUGAAGGAAGGACUUCACAGUUUGGAAUGUUGAACAGAAUCUAACAACAUGAAGUGUAUCAGCAAAUCAAUGUCAGGUUUGCCAGUGACCAUGUGACUUUAAAUACGUUACUUAGCCUCUCUCUGUCUUCGGGCCCUUAGGUGUAAAAUAGGAAUGAUGGCAGUCCCUACACAUAGGCUUGUUCUCGGAAUUUCACUCAAUGCCUGAAAAGUGCCUGACCCAUCAGAGAUGCUGAGCAGAUGUAGCAAGAACUCCUUUUGGUCUGUAGCUGCCUGAUGGAAGUGUAGGGGACUCUUCAAAAGGUGGGAUGAGUCUCUGUGCCUGGUGCUUGUCAAACCACAUUAUGGGGCGUAUGUCCGGUAAAUACCGCACUUUAAGAGAGAGCUAGAAAAACUGGAUUGAGCUCAGAGAAAAGUAACCAUGACGGUGAGAAAGCUUAGAAUCAUAUGAUGAAAGGAUGAAAGAACUAAGUAUAUUUAGCCUGAAGUAGAGAAGACUCAGCAUUUUCUAAUAUUUGAAAGGUCCUCAUAUUGUAGAUGGUUGAGAUUUAUUCUCUCCCCAGGGGCCAGAGGUGACUAUUUCAGAAAGACAAAUUUUAGCUCAAUCUAAGGAAGAACUUUGCUAGUAAUCAGAGCUGCUCAAGGAUGGUAACAACUCCUUCAGGAAGAAAGGAGGUCCUUGUCAGGAGAGGUGAUAAUAGGCCAGAUGGUGAGGCGAUGGAUGGACAGGGGACCUUUAAUGUCCAAUCUCUGAAGUUCCAUGAUUUUGAGAAUAAACAGCGCUUAGUCAAGAUAACAGGUCCAAAAAAUUUUUGUCUGUAGAUUGAUUUUUUAUAUACGCAGGUAGAAGAUCCAAGACCAUCAGAUGAGUCUGAUGGUGGUGAUUUGCCUUCCGUGUUCACUGGUGGGGGUGGGGCAGGAAUAGUGGGGUCCGGGGCCCUCCAUCCAUCGGGUUCUAGAGGAAGCAUGGCCUGGUCGCCUGUCCUCCUGGCUUUGUUGGAGGUACGUGAGCCCAGUAGUUCAAAAACAGACCUUCUGCCUGGCUGGAUGCAUGCAGCCAAAUAAAGAGAAGCUAAACAGACUGCUUCUUGUUUAUCUUUCUUAAUCUCCUUUAAACCUCUUCCUGCCUCAGCCAGCAGUAAGCCCGUCACAGAGGGUUAACCUACCCCUCUUUCUUUUUGGUGUUUAAUGUCACUGAUAUUUGUGUUUCCUGUUUGCUUUGGUUCUAUUUGUUGUUUAAAACAAACUUCAUUAUGUUCAUGCUAAUUAAUUAUCUUCUUUUAUGUCGUGUUUUCAUGACUUUUUCUUAUUUGGAUUGUACCUUCACUUUCCCACUACUAGAAUAUAAAAUGUGGAAUAGCAUGUAUAUAGUAUUGCUUUAAAAAUCAGUUAAUGUUACAGGGCAUUUCCAUCAUGGCUCAGCAGCUAACGAAUCUGACUAGCAUCCAUGAGGACGCAGGUUCGAUCCCUGGCCUCGCUCAGUGGCUUAAGGAUCCCACAUUGCCAGUGAGCUGUGGUGUAGGGUGCAGAUGUGGCUCGGAUCCUAUGUUGCUGUGGCUGUGGUGUAGGCCAGCAGCUAUAGCUCCUUUUCGGUCCCUAGCCUGGGAACCUCCAUGUGCCAUGGGUGUGGCCCUAAAAAGCAAAAAAACAAACAAAAAAUCAGUUAAUGUUACAACAUAACAUAUAGAUAUCUGUUAUUAGGUGCAGUCUCCUGAGAGUUACAAAUGAUGUUCCUCAAUCAUAGCAAAGAUUUUAAUUGUAUUUACUUUCUUUUGGUUGAUUUACUUUCAUUUGGAGCCACCAGAAUGCUCUAGGGCUCUUCCCAGAACCACAAGGUUUGGAGGUGAAACAUGACUGAUUUUCUUAAAGGUACAAGCUUCUCCCAGUUUACAUGUGGACUGAAAGUGCUGGUUCAUACUCUAGCACUUCACAGGACUUGGAGAAGAGGCUUUACUAUGACCUUUAACUGCCUGCCUGGGUAUGUGACGUCAGAACGAAGCCAUUCAUUUGCUUUCUGAUAACUGGCAUUGACUCAGCACUGUCUGCUCAUUCUACUUCAUAGCUGUCUAUCCGCAGGAUUUCUGAAGCUGGAAGAGCGGGUUAAGUCCGUUGGAGCUUGUGUCCACCCAGCUUCCCUACACUGGAAGUCCUUGUAAUUGUCCUUUUCCCAACAGGAGCCUCUUUCUCCUGCCUCCUCUCCUCUGUCCCGUUUGAAUUUGACUUCAUAAACGACAAAAGCUAUAUUCAUCUUAUUGCUUCAGAAUAUUCUUUACAGCAGGUAUUCAGUUCACUCUCACACUUUCCAUAAGGUACCUGUUGCCUGUGGAUUUUCCAUUCAUUCCGAACAUACCAAAUCCUUUCCAUGUGCCUUGCCCUGUGCUGAGUAAGAACAGAGGAGAUAAAACAAGACAUUGGCAUUGCCCUCCAGGAGCUUGUGGUCCAAAGGCAGAGAGAUAGAAAGUGGCAGUGCCGGGAUGCUGGCCAAGGAGGGUGCAUCUGGAGCAGAAGGAAGGAUGCAUGUCCAAACAAUGGGAAAGGGGUCCGUAUAGGGUGGGGGUACCUGAAAGAAAUGAGACUUCAUCAGUCUUGAAGGAAAUUUUCCAGAGCCAAUAUUUGGAAAAGAACAAUUUUUCUAAGGGAGUUUUAUAAGGAGGAAUGUAGUGUUUUCCUCAUAAUGAGUUUAUUUUGUUUUCCUGUAGACUCAUGAAAUGUUUGGUUGCCAUGUGAAAAUUAAAACUUAGAAAGAAGGGGUGUGUAAUCCAAUCUGCACAGACCUGAACUAGUCUCAUGCUCUUCACACCUUAUUGGACCUUCCUUUGAUGCCCAUGAUAAAGAUGAACUAAUGUAUAGAAAAGCAUUUCAUAAAAAUAAAGGGAGCCAUACAAGUUAUGGCUUUCUGUUUUAAGAUUAUCACACACAUCGUUUUUGGAAUAUUUUUUACUCCUUUUGAAUUCCCUGGUUAUUUUAAAUCUGAAUAACUGAAAUCCUUUGGAAAGAUGAAGCAAAGAACACUCUGCAAUCCAUGUAGAUAUGCCACUGGAAUGAUAAAUCUAGUACAUGCACUGAAAAACAGGGAGAAAAAGAGAGUGGUUGGUGCUUUUUAAAAAUUGCUUUCACUGUACACAGCCAUGAAGCCUGUUUGUUUGGACAGAUUUUUUUUUUUUUGCCUCUAACAUAUUCGUUGAUGAACUUUUUAUUCUGACAUUGGUUCAUCUCUUUGCACGAAACACUUUUUAUCUUGCAGCAGCUUCAUUCCCUCAGACCUCCACAAGUGUCAGGCCCCGAGAUUUAUUAUCCAGCAGCGUGUAGCCCAGGAUGAAGUUCACAUUCAAAUACGGUGAGAACAGGAUUACUUACACAUGACACCUGCUCCAGCGACACCCCAUUCAUCCUCCGGCAAGACUUCUAGAAACCUCAGAUAUCUAAACAGACAACGCUGGGGGUAAGAGACAGGGUUCAAGGCACAGAGUGACUCCCCAGAACCAAGUCUGUUGAUUAGGAGUUGAAAGUAGUCAGAGGUUGGGAGUUCCUUCCUAUCAUGGUUCAACAGUAAUGAACCCAACUAGUAUCCAUGAGGACGUAGGUUUGAUCCCUGGCCUCCCUCAGUGGGUAAGGAUCCGGGAUUGCCAUGAGCUGUGGCAUAGGUUGCAGACGCGGCUCAGAUCUGGUGUUGCUGUGGAUGUGGUGUAAGCUGGCAGCUGCAGCCCCGAUUCAACCCCUAGCCUAGGAACCUCCAUAUGCUGUGGGGCUGGCCCUAAAAAGGACAAAAAGAAAAAAAGAAAAAAAGAAAGAAAGUAGUCGGAGGUUAGUGAUGAAACAAGCAUGACUUCCUUUCCUCCAGGGAGAGAGCAAUAGAUGCUUUAGAAAAGAGAGGCAGGCUGGGCGGGGGCCUUGAGAAGGGGGCCUUCAAGGGGGAAUCUAAGAUUCGGAUUCCACAGCCAAGUUGAGGCCAUCAACAGGGGAGGUAAUGCCUCCAGCGGAAUUGGUCUGACAGCUACCGUGCUGCCCGAGAGAGCCCUCAGUGACGUGCCCGAAUCAUGUUCUGCAGGGAGGGCCGGCCUUGCUCCCUAAACAACACCCAGCUCUGAGGGGCGAUCCUGAACAUGCAGUGGGCUCACCCUCAGGACAGACGCCCCCCAGCGCUGGAGACCAUGGCUUUGUUCUGUGCUGGUGCCACAGAGCCCGCAUCAGCCCUGAGUGGAUGUCUGCAGCCAGGCGUCAUCCAUGACAAUACUCCUCUCCAUUAACACAGAGCCUUGAGAGAUGGUUUUAUGUGCCACCCUGCCAUUUAAUGUCAUUGAUUCUGCAGAAUGGGGCCCUCGGCGCCCAUCAACAGUGACAGCACCUGGGGUACUGGUGUUCCAGAACAGUUCCAAAUGUCCUGCAACAGGGGCAAAAAGCUCCUAUUUUGUCUUUAAUCUGAGCCUUAUGGAUUUGAGCAAAUGCCACUAGACCUCUCUGGCCCUCAGUUUUCUCACUGGGAACUGAGGAAACUGAAUUCGUAGCAAGAACAGUUGACAUUUCCCGGAUACAUACUAGGUGCCAGGUCCCCAGGUGAAUGCCUUCUAGAUAUCAGACUUAAUUCUCGAACAACCUAUGAGGUUAUCCUCCCUUUUUGGGUGAAGACCUUGGAAGGACAAGGAACAUGCCUGAGGUCUCAUCGCUGAUGAUAGGCAGAGAUGGCAUUUGAACCACAGCGUCCAGCUAGUAACUUGAGGGGGUACUGAGGUCCCUCCCCCCUUUAACAUCCCCCUCUGUUUUCUGAUUAGGGUGUCUAAAAACCUUAGCAGAAGAAUGAGCACUGAGGGAUUAUUACCAGCUUCGCUGCACUCCUCGGCACAGAGGUGAUCAGAGAUCAUUUGCCUCCUGCAGAGCCUUUUGUGUUCCUGUCACCCAGCCUUUAAAACGCCCCCUGGGGACCUCUAGGCUUUCUCCAUAAUCCUCAAAGCAUCCUUUCAGCAAAUACACCUGCAGGCCCCCACCCACUCCUCUUUUUCUCUGUUUAUUUGAGACUGUAAAGACUGUGUAUUCUGUCUCUGGAAUAUAGGGUCAUUCUCAGCAAGGUUAGUUGGUUUGUUUUUUUACCAUUUUCACAAGGGGAAGGUACUCUUAUUACAAAGAAAGGAGCAACUGUCUUGGUGGUACUAUUUGAAAUUGAUGAAUCUUUAAGUGGAUUAGAAGCCCGUCCUUAGUCCGUGUGUAUAGAUGGAAGCAGAAGUGCGAGGGCGUGGGGUGCUGGCUGUGUAGGUGCUGGCUGAGUGCAGGGCUGCAAUGGAAUUGCUUCGGGCUGCUGGGCACUUAGUUGUUCUAGUCCCUCGGUGUCGUCAAUUCUUCAUCUGUAACACACGAGGACAGUGAUCAUGUGUAUGCUACCUGUUCCCAAGUACACGUUAUUUUCACGUUUUUUACUUCUUUUACUCCUCACCUGCAAGGACAAGUAUUUUGUAAAUAAGGAAACUGGAGAGUUUCCGUCAUUGUGGCUCAGUGGAAACGAAUCCGACUAGGAACCAUGAGGUUGUGGGUUCGAUCCCUGGCCUUGCUCAGUGGGUUAAGGAUCUGGCGUUGCCAUGAGCUGUGGUGUAGGUUGCAGACUCGGCUCAGAUCCCACAUUGCUAUGGCUGUGGUAUAGGCUGGAGGCUGUAGCUCCCAUUCAACCCCUAGCCAGGGAACCUCCAUAUGUUGCGGGUGCGGCCCUAAAAA
This 7678-nucleotide long non-coding RNA is filed under the name Sus scrofa (pig). Its description in RNAcentral is "lncRNA (ENSSSCG00015077169.1)". The record is from RNAcentral. Lineage: Eukaryota; Metazoa; Chordata; Mammalia; Artiodactyla; Suidae.